GUUAAAAAAAAAAUGAAAGCUCUGAAUUGUGAACUCUUUGGGAAAGGGGUUACGCAUUGGUCAUCCCUAGCACUGAGCCUGGCACAUAGUAGGAAGCUGGGGGUGGGGAUCAUUCGUUCAGCCAAGCUCUUCUGCACCCCUACUAUGCACCAGAGUUGGAUGAUAUAGACGGGGACCCCAUCCCCUCCCGAACCUUGGACCUUGAUUUCAGAGGACUACCACCAGAUAACCCCUCAGGUCAGCAUCCUUCACCUGCAGGAAGGAAACCGGCGUCUCCUGAGUUUU
This is a non-coding RNA of Odocoileus virginianus texanus, 285 nucleotides long. The record is from RefSeq and is a predicted model, not a curated record. Lineage: Eukaryota; Metazoa; Chordata; Mammalia; Artiodactyla; Cervidae.